RNAcentral lists this ribosomal RNA (253 nucleotides) under uncultured bacterium. RNAcentral's name for it is "partial 16S ribosomal RNA". It matches the Rfam family "Bacterial small subunit ribosomal RNA", at positions 524 to 776 of the family's 1533-position model. The record is from RNAcentral.
UACGUAGGGUGCGAGCGUUAAUCGGAAUUACUGGGCGUAAAGAGUGCGUAGGCGGUUCGUUAUGUCUGCUGUGAAAGCCCCGGGCUUAACCCGGGAAUGGCAGUGGAAACUGGCGGGCUUGAGUGUGGCAGAGGGGGGUGGAAUUCCGCGUGUAGCAGUGAAAUGCGUAGAGAUGCGGAGGAACACCGAUGGCGAAGGCAGCCCCCUGGGCUAACACUGACGCUGAGGCACGAAAGCGUAGGGAGCAAACAGG